RNAcentral lists this ribosomal RNA (718 nucleotides) under Escherichia coli. RNAcentral describes it as "partial 23S ribosomal RNA". It matches the Rfam family "Bacterial large subunit ribosomal RNA", at positions 419 to 1138 of the family's 2925-position model. Lineage: Bacteria; Pseudomonadati; Pseudomonadota; Gammaproteobacteria; Enterobacterales; Enterobacteriaceae. The record is from RNAcentral.
GGGACACGUGGUAUCCUGUCUGAAUAUGGGGGGACCAUCCUCCAAGGCUAAAUACUCCUGACUGACCGAUAGUGAACCAGUACCGUGAGGGAAAGGCGAAAAGAACCCCGGCGAGGGGAGUGAAAAAGAACCUGAAACCGUGUACGUACAAGCAGUGGGAGCCUCUUAAUGGGGUGACUGCGUACCUUUUGUAUAAUGGGUCAGCGACUUAUAUUCUGUAGCAAGGUUAACCGAAUAGGGGAGCCGAAGGGAAACCGAGUCUUAACUGGGCGUUAAGUUGCAGGGUAUAGACCCGAAACCCGGUGAUCUAGCCAUGGGCAGGUUGAAGGUUGGGUAACACUAACUGGAGGACCGAACCGACUAAUGUUGAAAAAUUAGCGGAUGACUUGUGGCUGGGGGUGAAAGGCCAAUCAAACCGGGAGAUAGCUGGUUCUCCCCGAAAGCUAUUUAGGUAGCGCCUCGUGAAUUCAUCUCCGGGGGUAGAGCACUGUUUCGGCAAGGGGGUCAUCCCGACUUACCAACCCGAUGCAAACUGCGAAUACCGGAGAAUGUUAUCACGGGAGACACACGGCGGGUGCUAACGUCCGUCGUGAAGAGGGAAACAACCCAGACCGCCAGCUAAGGUCCCAAAGUCAUGGUUAAGUGGGAAACGAUGUGGGAAGGCCCAGACAGCCAGGAUGUUGGCUUAGAAGCAGCCAUCAUUUAAAGAAAGCGUAAU